GUCUAUGGCCAUACCACCCUGAACAUGCCCGAUCUCAUCUGAUCUCAGAAGCUAAGCAGGGUGGGGCCUGGUUAGUACUUGAUGGGAGAUAUGAUUAAAAGGGGCGGGCAUUUGGCA
RNAcentral lists this ribosomal RNA (117 nucleotides) under Oryctolagus cuniculus (rabbit). The record is from RNAcentral. Lineage: Eukaryota; Metazoa; Chordata; Mammalia; Lagomorpha; Leporidae.